AUUGAACGCUGGCGGCAUGCCUUACACAUGCAAGUCGAACGGCAGCACGGGUGCUUGCACCUGGUGGCGAGUGGCGAACGGGUGAGUAAUACAUCGGAACGUACCUUAUCGUGGGGGAUAACGCAGCGAAAGUUGCGCUAAUACCGCAUACGCCCUGAGGGGGAAAGCGGGGGACCGUAAGGCCUCGCGCGAUUAGAGCGGCCGAUGUCUGAUUAGCUUGUUGGUGAGGUAAAAGCUCACCAAGGCGAUGAUCAGUAGCUGGGCUGAGAGGACGAUCAGCCACACGGGGACUGAGACACGGCCCAGACUCCUACGGGAGGCAGCAGUGGGGAAUUUUGGACAAUGGGGGCAACCCUGAUCCAGCAAUGCCGCGUGAGUGAAGAAGGCCUUCGGGUUGUAAAGCUCUUUUGUCAGGGAAGAAACAGCAGCUCUAACACAGUCUGCGAAUGACGGUACCUGAAGAAUAAGCACCGGCUAACUACGUG
This 485-nucleotide ribosomal RNA is filed under the name uncultured bacterium. RNAcentral describes it as "partial 16S ribosomal RNA". It matches the Rfam family "Bacterial small subunit ribosomal RNA", at positions 30 to 507 of the family's 1533-position model. The record is from RNAcentral.